Molecule: long non-coding RNA, 5436 nt
Filed under: Sus scrofa (pig)
Lineage: Eukaryota; Metazoa; Chordata; Mammalia; Artiodactyla; Suidae
Description: lncRNA (ENSSSCG00000060414.1)
Source: RNAcentral
GGUGGCACCUGUGUCCUCCCGGAUGCUCGUCAGAUUCGUUUCUGCGGAGCCAUGGCAGGAGCUCCGGGAAGGACUUUUUUAAAUUCUGUGAGAGAAAAGACAUUUAAUGGCUUUUAAAGCUGUGCAGCUAGGGUUUAUAUCCAUAUUUAGUGCUGACUUUCAGAUUGAUUAUCAGCUUCUUAAAUCAAGCAAAUUGGUCUUUCUGGUAGAAAAUGUGGUUCAGGGGAGUUCCCUGGUGGCCUAGCAGUUAAGGAUCCGAUGUGGUCACUGCUGUGGUGCAGGUUGGAUCCCUGGCCUGGGAACUUCAUGUGCUGUGGGUACAGCCAAAAAAAAAGAAAGAAGGAAAAUGGGGUUUGGAAGAAAGUUAAGUCCAUGAGUCACGGGAGGCCGAGCUGCCGCGCGGAGGAAGGAACAAGGCUUUGGGGACGAGUGCUGUCCAGGUCCCAGAUCCUGCAGGUUCCCAGCAGCCUGGCGCCUGCUCGCAGAGCGGCCAGCACAGCACGCCUGGGGUUACAAGGUCCCGCUCGUCGCUGCUGGCGAGUCCGGCCCGCUCGCAGAACGUGCAGCCUGCGCCAGGUUCCAGCCCUGGGUUUUCAGUUCAAUCCCCGCUGCAGUCCUGUUCCCGGUUGCAGCCUCAGACUCCCCGUUCUGUCCCUGGGAAAGGCCUUAGCAUCGCUGUCACCAGGAGGGACAAACAGAAGAACCCUCAGCCCUGCCAUUCAGAACCUUCAUCCAAGCCAGUACUUUGCUGGCUGGUGACAGCCAGCGUGUGUGGGGACUCUUGUGCUAGACACGGGAGAACAUGGUGCUGCCCGGCCCUUCCUGCCCCUGGGGGUGCGGCCCCCUCGGGAGGGGAGCUGUGGUCCCAUCUGCUCAGGGCAGUGGCAGCCGAGCCUCUUCUCAGAGCGUGGUUAUUUAUUAACCCAUCCCCCCACCCCCACCUGCAGCAGGGUCCCCUUGUGGAUGACAGACAACCCGCCCCCUCCCCAUCUGAAACCUACGCGUGGUGGCGGGUGGCUGUGGAGGGCGAGUGGGGCCCUCGGGGCCACAGCCCUGCCGCGACGGUGAGGUCGGAGGGCCAGGUCAGGGCGCGUGCGGUGGAGCCACAGCUCAGCCACGUGGCAGGGUUUCUGCGUCCCCGGGUCGGGAUGCCCACGUGUGUCUGGGAUCCGUGACCGGGAGGACCUCCCCCAGAGGCUCCUGUCUGGACCGGCGUCGUCCCGAGGGACCCAGGGCCUGCUGGACCCCUGCCUGGUCGGGGUGAAGCUGCGGGAAGUGGGUCUGUGUAGCGUGUGGCCGGCGUGGCAGACCAGGAAGGACAGAGGCACCGAAGAGUUUUCCCAGGACGUGGGGAGAGGGAACCGGGCUGGCCCUGACUUGAGAAGAGCAGCGGGGGGACCGCGGGGCCCCACGGGUGGACUCGGAAACCUGGGCACAGCUUGAUCUCAGGAGUGCCCCUGGAGAGGAGGCCCGGCUGGUCUGAGAGCACGGGCCAGAGUCCUGUGUCCCCUGGAGCCCAGCGUGCCCCCAAGGCCGGCAAUACUGUAAAUGUCUCUUUAAGGACGAGCUCUCCUGUGGCUCAGCGGGUUAAGGGUCUGGCCUUGUCACUGCAGCGGCUCAGGUCACUACUGCAGUGUGGAUUCGAUCCCUGGCCCAGGAACUUCCGCAUGCCCCUGGCACGCCCGCCCCACCCCCCAAAAAAAAGGGAAAAGUAUUUUGACUGGUAAUUACGUGUCAGUAUCCUUAAUCAUUCUAAAUUUUCGGAUGUGGCAUAACUGUAGUUUCUAAAAUCGGGCUUCUGUUCUGUUCCAGUGGGGAGUAGGUAAUAUUAACAUGGAUUAAUAAUGCAAGUGACGCAAAAGGUCCACACUGAGCCGUCUCCCCCUCCUGCCCACCCUCCCUGCCCCUGCAGGCGGCCGCUUUUGUGGCCUUUUCCUCUAUGUUUCUUUAGUGAAAUGCAAGCAGACAGGAAUACCUAUCUCUAUGCCCCCCAUCACACAGCGUCGCAGAAGGUAGAUGCUGUAGUACGCUCUUCUGCACCUUUUAAAAAUGGACUCUAUCAGAGUUCCCGUUGUGGCUCAGGGGGUUAAGGACCCAGUGUUGUCUCUGUGAGGAUGCACGUUCAAUCCAUGGCCUCGCUCAGCAGGUAAAGGAUCUGGCAUUGCCACAAGCUGCGGUGUUGGUCACAGAUGUGACUCAGAUCGGUGUAGACUCUGGCUGUGGUGUAGGCCGGCAGCUGCAGCUCUGAUUCAACCACUAGGCUAGGAACAUCCAUGUGCCAUAGGUGCAGCCAUAAAAAUAAAUACCUAAAAUAAAAAUUUACCCCGUCUGGUGGAGCCCACAGCCUGACCGUCCCCAGAGGCCUUGCAAACCUUGCGGCUUGACCCCAUGUCCCCUGAACCUGGCACCUGAGACCCAGCUCCCUGUCGCUGGCCUUGGGUGGCCCCCAGUCUCGUGCAGGGACUGGCCUUGUUCCUUACGUGUGCAGAUGUGUCUGUGGGCAGAGACCAGAAGUGAGGUUGCAGGCCGCUGAGUAAACACACGGUCGUGUCAGCACCUUGGCCGCGAGGUGCUGGUUGCGGGCUGUGCUGUGCGGUCUCUGGCCAGCACAUGUGUGGCUGUGUCUGUUUCCCCACAGCCUUUCCAGCAUCGUUUACCCACACAUUGGGGGUUUCGCCACUUUGAGGGGAGAGAGAGGAUCUCAGUGACCGCUAAUUUGCGCUUAUUUUGAGGGGGUUUGAGCAUCUCGUGGUGCGUUGAAGGGCCCUUUGCUUUCUGUGAACUGACUCUUCUGAUCAUUUGCCCUUCAUUCUGCUCGUGGAUCUAUUUCUAGAAGCCCUUUGUGUCUUUGAGGUGUAGGUAUUAUUUUCCAGUCGGCCUUUCACCCAGAGUGCUGCUGAACAGGUGGCACUUACUGCUGAUGGUCCUCAUUUUACAGCUGACGUGCUGGCUGGUCCCUCGGGUGCUGUUGCCAAGAGCAGUGUUGACCCCUGCUUUGUGGUACUUUUAGCACAUUGCAAACGCCUUCUCACGCCGGCUCACAGAGAGCCUCCACCAGGAAGCCUUUCUGGCGAUUGUCCUUCUCUGUGAGGGAGAGAGACUCUUUUUCUCCUUUGGCCUGGCGGCGCGGUAUUCCAGACCACCUAACAUCGCAAUUCCCACUGUGGCACGACGGGAUCAGCGGCGCCUCUGUAGCGCCUGGACGCGGGGGACCUGGCACCAUGGAUUAAGCAUCCCUGUUGCCACAGUUGUGGCAUAGGUUGCAGUGGCGGCUCGGAGCUGAUUCCUGGCUCCGCAACUCCGUGUGCCGCAGGGUGGCCAAAAACGAAAAAAAUCCUUCCAUUCAUAGAUGAACCCCCGCCUAAUCAGGAUGAAUUAUUCUUUUGGCAUACGGAUUGGCUCUGUUACAAACACGUUAUUCCAGGGUUUCUUGUUGCCAAAUGCUUGUGGCCUGGCUUUGGGGGCUGGGGACACCCCCUGUUCUUUGGUUGACCCCAGUCUUCUGUGGGUUCUCUGUCCCUGGAAUGUGGCCUCUCUGUGCUCCUGCCCCCUGGGCUGCAGCCCUGGACCCGGGGCACCUCCCCGCCCCCACAGGGGAGGUAGGCGAGAAGGUUGGGGGGUUGCCCCUCUUGCCCCCAGCCCGAGCCGGCAGGGUGAGGGCGCUCUAACCAACAGUGGUGGCUGUGGGUCACCCCCGCCUCAAAUCAUACACCUGAGCCAGGACCCUCUUCCUGCCCGGGGGCCACAGCUGCUCAUCGGGGCGCCUCUGCAGGACCAGCCAACCCACCAGGCACAGCAGGUGCAGUGCCAGGUCCCACAGCACUUUUGGGGGGCCCACAAAAGUGUUUUAAUGUAUUUUAUAAUCAAAAGAAAAUAAUUCUUAGGUCAGAGUAAAUGUUUAAAUACAUAAUAUGAAUGUAUCUGCCUCUAUUGCAAUGUGGUUGUAAAAUACAUUUUUUGAUGUUUUUUGUGAAGAAAGGGCCCACAAAGGCAGGGGUACCGCAGGCCACGGUGCAGCCUGAGUGCCCCUGGCCACUGGGACUCACACACCGUCCCCCAGGUGGCUGGACCCACCUCGAAGGUGACCUCAUCCGCCCUCCCAGGGAGCAGAGCAGAGCCCGCUUUCUUCCGGUGGGUUUCCCGUUUCCAGGGGUUAUGGCUCUGAAGGGAAGCAUCUUUGGGGCCGUUUCAAUCCACACACUGGGAAGCAUUUAAGAACAGAAUUUGCAAACAGAAACUCUUAAACCCUGGCUUUUAGGCAGGCGUUAAGCUCAUUCAUAGAGUUGCAAAAUCAAAACCUCUCGGAGUUCCCGUCAUGGCUCGGUGGAAGUGAAUCUGAGUGGCAUCCAUGAGGACGCAGGUUUGAUACCUGACCCCACUCAGUGGGUUAAGGAUCCGGCGUUGCUGUGAGCUGGGGUGUGGGUUGAAGCUGUCACGCCAUAGAGCUGGCAUUGCUGUGGCUGUGCCAUAGGCCGGCUCCAACUUGACCCCUAACCUGAGAACCGCCAUAUGCCGCGGGUGCAGCCCUAAAAAGACAAAAAAAAUCAAAACCUCGCAUCAGCACGUGGACGGGCUCCUGCAGCCCUUGGUCCCCUUAGUGGUGGCCUCUGUGCCCCGCUGCCAGCUCAGCUCCCCUGUCUGGGGCCUACGGACUGGCCUCCAUCCGUCCACGAGGCCCCUCCUGCCGCCUAUAAAACGCACAUGCAGCGCAGUAUUCCCCUGUUUUCACACCUGCCAAAACAACCAUUUGUGGUUUUAAAAUAAAAUUCUUAGACUUCUUAGCAACGGAAUGAAAAGGUCACAGUUUGUAAGAGGCAAAGUGGUCUUGGGGGGUGAGCUGGACUGGGGUCCCCCAGGAGGAGCCUGGCGGGGCCCUGCCUGUGGGGCACCUCCUGGCCUCUAAAGCCCCCGGUCACAGACGCUGUCGCCCGGGGCCUGCGCGCAGAAUGAGAGGCUCGGGGUGGGCUGGGGCCGCUCGGACCUACAGUUGUUAAACUUUCUCGGACACUGAACCGAUCUUUGAAAAACAGCAGCAGAGACGAAAGCUCCUCAGUGCUUCUCUGACGACUCUGCGCCCGUCUGCGCCUCUGAGCGCGUCUGUGUGGUGGAGAUGCGAGCGUGUGCUCACCCCUUCCUGCCUCCACAUUCACUUAAGGCUGGAGUGUCUACGCCGCGGAAAUCGGCAGACUUGAUAGAGCGAAAGUGCUGAUAAAGUACAUUGGAAAUGGCCAAACAAUGGAGGCCCUUCGGCGCUCCCUUCGCGGCUCAGUGGUGAACAGACAGACCCGAUGAGUGUCCGUGAGGAUGCGGGUCCGACCCCUGACUCCACUCAGUGGGUUAAGGAUCCGGCGUGGCUGUGGCUGUGGUGGAGGCCCGCAGCUGCAGCUCCAAUUCGACCCCUAGCCUGGGAACCUCCACGUGCUGCAGGUGCGGCCU